Long non-coding RNA from Pungitius pungitius (ninespine stickleback), 2230 nucleotides. RefSeq lists it as uncharacterized. The transcript has 2 exons. The record is from RefSeq and is a predicted model, not a curated record. NCBI's taxonomy places the organism in Eukaryota, Metazoa, Chordata, Actinopteri, Perciformes, Gasterosteidae.
AAAAUUGAAGUAAAAGUUGUUCUAGCCAUACAAACGUAAUGAAUAUUAUUUUUUUAAAGCUGUAAUGUAAUUUGAUGACAUCCUGGGUUUUAGGGAGGUACAACAGAAACCCCCUGUUUUCAGGGACUAGAUGGUAUAUCCCAGUGUCUCCUUCUCUCCCUCUCUCCCUCUCCCUCCUCCUGCUUUUAGUGUCCUCCAUCUAUCUUCCUCUUUCGUAAACUAAGGACAUUUUCACCAAGACCCUUGCAGAGACUCAUCCAUCUGUUAUUCUUGAAAAACUACAGACGUGCUGGAGAGUGAAGCAGCACAGAGCUGACCAAAUAAAGACUCCCCCUGACCAGACCACACCUCUGUCUUUGAGUCGAUGGAAGCCAAGGCCAAGUCCGGGGCUUCAGCACCUAAGGCGCAAACUAAAGCAGAGAAGAAGGAACCGGCAGCCCCACGCAAAGCUGAGCCUGCCCCUGCAGCCACUGCAGCUCCUGUAGCUCCGGUAGCCCCUGCAGCCCCUGCAGCCCCUGAGCCAGAGCAUCCUCCUCCCCAGGAUGGGGCAGCAGAAGCUGAAGCAACAGCAGCAGGUGACGAGGCUGCAGCCUCCGGCACAGACUCUUUGGAACAGCUGAAACCGUUUCUCAUUGGUGGUGCCGUUAUAGCUGCAGGUGCUGUCUUGCUGGGAUUGCUGCUACUGGCGAGGAGAAAUUAAGACAAAAUUAUUAUCUCAAAUUAAAGUAUGUAUUGGGAUAUGAGUUACAGUUGUGUUGGCUGGGGGUUUAGAGACUAUUAUGGGACAGGUGGGGGGUGGGGAGUCACUCUUUAUCUUAUGUUUUUUUUAAAUUUUUAGCCUGCUUUCACUUAUAGUGAAUCCAAUCACUCAAGUUUCGAUAAAGAACAUAAUUGCACAUAAUAUAUGCAUGAAUUUGCUUCAAUACUACAUCCGAACUGUAUAAACCCAUUUUCUUAAAGAAAGUCUGAGCUAAGAGCUUAAACUCUCUAAAGGUAGCUACUUUUACUUAUCCUGUUUUCACAAAUAUUAACAAAAGUUUGCAAAAUAUAUAAAUCCUUGCUCCAGAAAUCAGCCUGGUUCACUUGGCUAAUAAUUCUGGCUAUCAGAGUUCUCCUAAAGUUUAUUUCACCUUUGAAUGAGACAAUUGAAAGAGUAUGUCUGAAAACGGAUAAAAUGGUUUGUUUAAAGAAGAGUAGAAAAAGUUUAGUGUGGUUUAGUAUGGCAUUUAGCAGAUUGUAAGACAUAAACCAUGUACUGUACGUGUCAGAGAAAUAUAUUGUAGACUUACCUUUUGCUGUAGAAUAAGAAAGAGUUUUACUUUACUGUUAAAUGAUGUCACAAAUCAAUAACCUUUUAUGUCUCACAACAUCCACGGUUCAAUCAUAGAAUAGAUAGUUGUAGCAGGCUGAACGGGCCAUUAGUGUUGCAUUAUCAGGUUUAAAAGCCUGCUACAAAAACUUAAGAGUUUAUGUCUUCACUGUGCUCCACACAUGAGGAGAAAAACCAACUCCAACCAUCAGACAUAAUCAUGUACAACUUUAUUGUAAUGAGAGGUUGUUAUUACAAUGCAAGUGGGGUCUAUAUGUUACUGUUACUACACUGUUGAGUUGUAGUAAAAUUAUACUUCCACACUUAACGUGUUAAAGGGAGCUCUCAAUGGUACAGCUGUACAGUUAGUGCACAUUCAUUAUGUAAAGCUCAUGGGGAUGUUACUGUUGCAUAAGUAGAUCGCAGACAGACGGUUCUGACCAUUAUUGUAGUGCAUUACUGGCCCAAACUAUUGUGAUAACAUAUCUCAUGAAACCACACCUCAAAUCCAUAAAAAAGAAAGUUCACAUUACAUUGUACAAGGCAGUGUUCCAAUAAAAAGAGAAAUCCUAUUUUCAUAAUGUUAACAGCGUAUAAAUGCAAUAAUUCAGAUAGGACUCCUCAUUUAGAACCAGUGCUGUAGCAAGAUAAAGUACAUAAAUGAUGAUAUGACGAUAUUCUUGGUGAUAAUGAUGUAUGAAGUUAGUGAAUGCAAUGAUGGCGAUGAUACAAAUGAUGACUGCAAUGAUUAUGUUUAUGAUACCAAUGGUUAUGAUAUAUUUUUGAUAUAUUUCUAACAUAUUUCCCUUAUGUACACUCCCCUCUUCCCCCAAACUCCUAAAUGUAAAAAAAGAAGAGGUCAUAAUCUAACCUUUAUUAAAGACAGUGAACCAGCCCAAGGAAAUAUUUCUUAAUUUGUAA